GACGAACGCUGGCGGCGUGCUUAACACAUGCAAGUCGAACGGAAAGGCCCUGCUUUUGUGGGGUGCUCGAUUGGCGAACGGGUGAGUAACACGUGAGUAACCUGCCCUUGUCUGUGGGAUAAAUUCAGGAAACUGGGGCGAAUACCGGAUAGGAUCUCCUGCUGCAUGGUGGGGGUUGGAAAGUUUCGGCGGUUGGGGAUGGUCUCGCUGCUUAUCAGCUUGUUGGUGGGGUAGUGGCUUACCAAGGUUUUGACGGGUAGCCGGCCUGAGAGGGUGACCGGCCACAUUGGGACUGCGAUACGGCCCAGACUCCUACGGGAGGCAGCAGUGGGGAAUAUUGCACAAUGGGCGGAAGCCUGAUGCAGCAACGCCGCGUGCGGGAUGACGGCCUUCGGGUUGUAAACAGCUUUCGACGGUGACGAAGCGUGAGUGACGGUAAUGGGUAAAGAAGCCCCGGCUAACUACGUG
RNAcentral lists this ribosomal RNA (468 nucleotides) under uncultured bacterium. RNAcentral's name for it is "partial 16S ribosomal RNA". It matches the Rfam family "Bacterial small subunit ribosomal RNA", at positions 28 to 507 of the family's 1533-position model. The record is from RNAcentral.